AGAAUUAAUUAUAUUAGAAUUUGGCUAGAUUGGUUUAAGAUUUCAUUAGAUUUUUUUCAGAAUUGGAUUAGUAUUACAUUAGGAUUUGGAUAUGGUUGGUUUAGGAUUUGAUUAGAAUUUGAUUAGGAUUGAUUUAGGAUUUGAUUAGGAUUUAUUUAAGAUUUGAUUAGGAUUGAUUUAGGAUUUGAUUAGGAUUUAUUUAAGAUUUGAUUAGGAUUGAUUUAGGAUUUGAUUAGGAUUUAUUUAAGAUUUGAUUAGGAUUUGUUUAGAAUUAUAUCAAUAUUUUAUUAAGAUUUUUUUAGGAUUACAUUAAAAUUUAAUUGGAAUUCAUUUAAGUGUUCUAUUUUUAAUAUUUUAAAAAUAUUUCUUUAAUAUUUCUUUAGUAUUUUUUAUUA
Molecule: long non-coding RNA, 395 nt
Filed under: Physcomitrium patens
Lineage: Eukaryota; Viridiplantae; Streptophyta; Bryopsida; Funariales; Funariaceae
Description: long non-coding RNA (PPAT_LNC013288)
Source: RNAcentral